RNAcentral lists this ribosomal RNA (433 nucleotides) under uncultured bacterium. RNAcentral's name for it is "bacterial SSU rRNA". It matches the Rfam family "Bacterial small subunit ribosomal RNA", at positions 28 to 505 of the family's 1533-position model. The record is from RNAcentral.
GAUGAACGCUGGCGACGUGGAUAAGGCAUGCAAGUCAAACGGCUCUUCGGAGCAGUGGCAAACGAGGUAGUAACACGUAGGAAUUCACCUAGAAGUCAGGAAUAACUUAUCGAAAGGUAAGCUAAUACUUGAUAGUCCCUCCGGGGUAAAGAUUUAUCGCUUCUAGAGAAUCCUGCGGAGUAUCAGCUUGUUGGUAGGGUAAAAGCCUACCAAGGCAAUGACGCUUAGGGGAGGUGAGAGCCUGACCCCCACCGAUGGAACUGAGACACGGUCCAUACACCUACGGGUGGCCGCAGUCGAGAAUCUUCCGCAAUGGACGAAAGUCUGACGGAGCGACGUCGCGUGAUCGAUGAAGUCCUUAGGGAUGUAAAGAUCUUUUAUGAGGGAGGAAGUUUAUUGACGUUACCUCAUGAAUAAGGGGUUGCUAAACUCG